GAUGAACGCUGGCGGCGUGCCUAAUACAUGCAAGUCGAGCGAACGGACGAGAAGCUUGCUUCUCUGAUGUUAGCGGCGGACGGGUGAGUAACACGUGGAUAACCUACCUAUAAGACUGGGAUAAAUUCGGGAAACCGGAGCUAAUAACGGAUGAUAUUUUGAACCGCAUGGUUCAAAAGUGAAAGACGGUCUUGCUGUCACUUAUAGAUGGAUCCGCGCUGCAUUAGCGAGUUGGUAAGGUAACGGCUUACCAAGGCAACGAUGCAUAGCCGACCUGAGCGGGUGAUCGCCCACACUGGAACGGAGACACGGUCCAGACUCCUACGAGAGGCCGCAGUAGCGAAUCUUCCGCAAUGGGCGAAAGCCUGACGGAGCAACGCCGCGUGAGAGAUGAAGGUCUUCGGAUCGUAAAACUCUGUUAUUAGGGAAGAACAUAUGUGUAAGUAACUGUGCACAUCUUGACGGUACCUAAUCAGAAAGCCACGGCUAACUACGUG
RNAcentral lists this ribosomal RNA (497 nucleotides) under uncultured bacterium. RNAcentral describes it as "partial 16S ribosomal RNA". It matches the Rfam family "Bacterial small subunit ribosomal RNA", at positions 28 to 507 of the family's 1533-position model. The record is from RNAcentral.